RNAcentral lists this ribosomal RNA (253 nucleotides) under uncultured bacterium. Its description in RNAcentral is "partial 16S ribosomal RNA". It matches the Rfam family "Bacterial small subunit ribosomal RNA", at positions 524 to 776 of the family's 1533-position model. The record is from RNAcentral.
UACAGAGGUCUCAAGCGUUGUUCGGAUUCAUUGGGCGUAAAGGGUGCGUAGGCGGCGCGGUAAGUCGGGUGUGGAAUCUCGGAGCUUAACUCCGAAAUUGCAUUCGAUACUGCCGUGCUUGAGGACUGGAGAGGAGACUGGAAUUUACGGUGUAGCAGUGAAAUGCGUAGAGAUCGUAAGGAAGACCAGUGGCGAAGGCGGGUCUCUGGACAGUUCCUGACACUGAGGCACGAAGGCCAGGGGAGCAAACGGG